Molecule: ribosomal RNA, 1176 nt
Filed under: Triticum aestivum (bread wheat)
Lineage: Eukaryota; Viridiplantae; Streptophyta; Magnoliopsida; Poales; Poaceae
Description: partial small subunit ribosomal RNA
Source: RNAcentral
AUGGGCUCGAGCGGAGCCGACUCGGCGGAGGAGGCCGUCCGUCUCCUCCUGCACGAGGCGCAGAGGCUGCGCUACAGGAUCCAGUCCCUGGCAUCCGUCCUCAGGGAAUCCAACUCCGGCGUCCCCGUCGUCUCCCCGGACAAGGCCAAGACGCUGCUCCUCGUGUCGCGCGCACUCGCCAGCAUCUCCGGGGACAUAGCCAGCAAGCAUGGAUCGCCAAAUCCACGCAAAUCUGCUACCGAGGAGGACCAAGUUUCUUCCUACAAAGAGCACCGCGCCGGCUGGAAAUCUACGUGGGGCGGCCCCAUUGGAAACACCGGUGGCUUCCAUGAUAUAACUACACUGAGUCCUAUGCACUUCACGCGCCGGGUGCCUGUUAACAUCCCCGACUACUUUUACGUCACCCCAGCUUUGCAGAUCUACUCCUUCAAAAUUUUUAGACUAAAUGAAAACUUGAACUGGCCGCUCCACGUGUACGGUGUGGUCGCUGCUCGAGACGAUGUAGACAGUAACCGCAACCUUCUCUUCUGCCGGUCGAGGGCUAAUUACCAAGUACUCACUGAAAAGGAUCCUUUUCUGCGCUUGACCGGCCCUUCCUGUGCAAUUCAAGCUAAGGCACCUGUUGACUUUGAAGUCGAACUGAAGAUAAAAUAUGGAACCGAGUCCCAAGAUAUAGCAUUCUUCUGUUCUACCAACCAUCACCAUAUGCACCAUCAUACCGCUUGGUUCCCCGGUUCCUCUUGUGAUGGAGAGCUAAGCCUUCAAACAAUUGGUAGAGCGGUUCAGGCCACUGUCCUGGGUGUUUGCGUACUUGAAGGUGGGCCGCCUUUUGAAUAUGGAUGUCGAGUCGCUUGCUCCCUAUCAUCUGCAGAGCUUAUUGAGGAUCUCCCGUCGAACCAAGUUGUGUUGCUUGAUUGUCACGGUGAACAAAUUCCUGUAGAAUCAGAUGGUUAUCUUACUCUAUCAAGGAAUGUUGUCACCGCAGAAUUACAAGGAACACUAAAAGUUGUCAUCCAAGCAUACGCGGAAUCUGGUGCUAUUGCUGGACAGGGGGAUGUCGAUUUCCCUUCCCAACAUUGCCAGAUGAGUAGGGGUGUGUGUUUUGUUGGCAACUCUAAGGUGGAGAUUGUUGUUGCUUGGUCUCUUCUUGUCGAGGAUAAGCUGGAUAUCUUGUAG